AUUGAACACUGGCGGCAGGCUUAACACAUGCAAGUCGAGCGGGGUGAUGGUGCUUGCACUAUCACUUAGCGGCGGACGGGUGAGUAAUGCUUAGGAAUCUGCCUAUUAGUGGGGGACAACAUCUCGAAAGGGAUGCUAAUACCGCAUACGUCCUACGGGAGAAAGCAGGGGAUCACUUGUGACCUUGCGCUAAUAGAUGAGCCUAAGUCGGAUUAGCUAGUUGGUGGGGUAAAGGCCUACCAAGGCGACGAUCUGUAGCGGGUCUGAGAGGAUGAUCCGCCACACUGGGACUGAGACACGGCCCAGACUCCUACGGGAGGCAGCAGAGGGGAAUAUUGGACAAUGGGGGGAACCCUGAUCCAGCCAUGCCGCGUGUGUGAAGAAGGCCUUAUGGUUGUAAAGCACUUUAAGCGAGGAGGAGGCUCUUUUGGUUAAUACCCAAGAUGAGUGGACGUUACUCGCAGAAUAAGCACCGGCUAACUCUGUGCCAGCCGCCGCGGUAA
RNAcentral lists this ribosomal RNA (503 nucleotides) under uncultured bacterium. RNAcentral describes it as "partial 16S ribosomal RNA". It matches the Rfam family "Bacterial small subunit ribosomal RNA", at positions 30 to 523 of the family's 1533-position model. The record is from RNAcentral.